This 88-nucleotide microRNA precursor is filed under the name Spodoptera frugiperda (fall armyworm). RNAcentral describes it as "microRNA sfr-mir-263b precursor". Its record names the gene sfr-mir-263b. It matches the Rfam family "mir-263 microRNA precursor family". The record is from miRBase by way of RNAcentral. Lineage: Eukaryota; Metazoa; Arthropoda; Insecta; Lepidoptera; Noctuidae.
AGACCAUGUUGAGCCUUGGCACUGGGAGAAUUCACAGGAGUUCUGAAUAUACCCGUGAAUUUCCUGAUGCCUUAGCUUAAUGCGGUCU